UCCACAUAACCCUAUUUCUCUUCAAACCAAUGACAUACCACUUGAGCCCAUUUCAACUGAAACCCUAAAAACCAAAACCCAAAACAGAAAACCUCCACUAAGUGAUGAAAAGAGUGACACUGGCAAGAGAUGGCCUAGGGAUGAGGUGUUAGCUCUUAUCAACAUCAGACGCAGCAUCAGUAGCAUAAAUGAUGAUGAUCAUCAUAAAGGUGGGAUCUCAUUAUCAUCAUCAUCCUCUAGAGCUGUUCCUUUGUGGGAAAGAAUAUCCAAGAAAAUGGUGGAGAGUGGGUACAAGAGAAGUGCCAAGAGAUGCAAAGAGAAAUGGGAAAACAUCAACAAAUAUUUUAAGAAGACAAAAGAUGUUAACAAGAAGAGACCACUGGACUCAAGGACUUGUCCUUAUUUUCACCAACUUACAGCUUUGUACAGCCAACCCUCCACUGGGACCACCACCACCGCCACCGACACGUCAACCGGAGAACUGGAAACCCGGGUUGGAUCGGGCGAUCCUGAUGAUAUUCCUGCAGUCAUUCAUGUAGAUGCAAAUGGUGCCGGCGAAAAAAGCAAUGUACAAUUUUCAGGUUUCGAUCUUGCGUUACCAUAAACCUCAAUACAAGAAAUAUAAAUAUAUUACUAGUUUAAUUUCUUUUCUUGUUUUUUCCCCUUUAAAACCUCAUUUUUGGUUAUCAUGGAAAAUUUAAAUAAUAUAUGAAUAAUGUCAUUUACUGUUUUGACGCAUCAGUAGAAACGUAUACGCACUAUUUUAGUUGGACAGUACACGUGCACCGACAAACAGUGAAAUUCAGUUGAACUUGAAUAAACUACUGGUUAAAUUAUGGUUAUGGCAUUUUUAUGAACUUCACACAUGUGACGAGAAUCGAGAUCAGGUUUUUCAAUAAGAAAUGUUGUAAGAAAAAGAAACAGUAUACGGUAAUUCUUCAUGGAAACUUCAUUCAAAUCCAUCCUGUACGUUUUUAUUUGGUGACUAAAGGUGGAGAACGAGCUAGAUGAUGGGUGGGGGACAUGAACAUUAAUAUUAAUACAAGUCGUUUCAGUCUUAAUACUGAUUUAAGAUACCAAAGAUUCAGAAAGGAAAUUUGACAGAAUUAUUUGUCUAUUUUAUUUUUUAUUGUCUUAAUUUCACAUGUGAUUUUGUACAGUUUUAGUGUACGUAAUGUUUUGUUAUAUUCUUGUUUUAUAGGAUAACGAUAAAGAUGAUUCUUGUCAUGUUUUUCUUUUCAACUUCUAUUUACAGCACAUAUUUUGAAAAUUUAUCCCAUUUUGAAACCAUUUUGAAAUGUAUUUUCAUUCAGAAUAAUCAUUCUGAUAUAAAAUCGUAGCGAAACUUGUUAUGCUUGUAUUCGCAUAUCCAUUGUAACUGUGGGACAAUAUACCAAAUAUUUGCGAUUGACUUGUUACUUAGUUUAUCAGUAGCUAAUUAGUCUGUAUUUUUUCUCUAAAUAUUGUUACAGUUACAAUAUGUAGCAAAUGUCAUAACAAAGACGCAUAAACUGGUCGAAUUGUAACCGUACGUGAUGAUAAUAUUUCAUAUUAUGAUAAACAUAAAAUAUCGUAUUAUGAUAAACCUACAUCCCAUAAGUUCACAAUAGUUGGAUGUGUUCACAUUUCACAGUUCACACACACUGUAUUACUUAGCUGUACGAUCAGUUGUUCUUUUAUAGAAUAGUACUUGUUAGGAACCUCGAAGCUCAAUGAUAGAGAUGGCACUAUUGCUGUUAGAGGUAUUAGGUAUAUAUAGAAAUAUUCCACUAAAAUGGUAUCAAAGUCGUAUGAUUCAUAUCCUUCCACAACACGUAAUUCACACACCUAACAAAAAAAUUGAAAACAAAUGAAAAACAAUUAUUCUUAAUGCACGACCGACUAAAAGUAUACAAUGAACAGACAACUUCGGGCUUUUUUUUUUUGUUUAGGAUAAGUUUAGUGGUAGUGUAAGAGAUUUUUCUUUUGUGUGUUCUGAGAUCAAAUCCUUUUUUAAACAAAACUUUUUUGGUACAAAUUUUUAAUAAAAAAUUGUUCUGCUAAAAUUAAAAUUUUAAAAUAAUUCUAAACUUUAAAUUAAAGAGAUUAUGGAUUGAAGUUACACAACUGUGAAAAUCUUCAAAGCAAACUUGUUUUUUUUUCCUCCAUGGAAGAGUACUGCAUAGUUAACAUCAUACUGAUUUGAUAAAAAAAAAUAUCAUACUGAUAAGACAUAAAACAUCAUCCGCAUAUACCUUUCUCUGAUAUUUCACCACGUAUUAUUUUCUUUCAGACAUGCAUAUGGUUUUUCACUCGCUUAAAAUAAUGGGAAUAAUAUGUUACAAACACACCUAAAUGAAUGGUUUUGAAGAAAAAAAAAAUCUAAUCACCGUAAAAUUACAUAUAAUACCUUGAUUUUUUUUUUUUGUAAAAAAUAGGGUAAAUAAUUACCUUAAUCUUAUACUCUAGUUAGAUGCACAUUAUACGUAUUUUUGUUAUAGCUUAGUAUAAUUUUAAGACUGCAUAACUUGACUAUCCUGGUUAAAAAAAGAACUGCAACCAGUUGACUACUUAUAAUAUCAAAUAGACAUAAUAAUUCAGAUUUUUAUUCAGGUUCAAGUGUAUUCUUAUCAAUUUAGAUUGUUAAUUAUCUGAAUAAAAAAAAUAAACGGAUCAAGAUUAAUUCGGUUCUAACUUUUUGAUACAUAUAAGAUGUGAUUGGUAGUGGUUAUAGGAUGCUGUCGAUAAUUCUAUUUAUUUUUACAGUACCAAAUUCAUAUCAAUCAAGUUUUGAUGAAAAAUUUAAAUCAUAAUUCUUAAAAUAACAUACAGUUAUACAAGUGUUAUGUAGAACCAAAUAUUCACAUCAAUUUUUCGGGUUUUCUAUAAAAUCUAAAGCCAUAGUAAAUUUUGCAGUAAAAUUUUUAAAGCUACAGAUAUUACCAAUCGGAUCCAAAAAAAACAAUUUCAUGAUUUCUUUUUAGUUUUCCUUAUAUUCAAUAGAGCAAUGUCUACUGUUCACCUUUGAAAGUGAUGAAUUAACCAAUUAUUUAAGAAAACGAUAUACUAUUAUACAAAAAUAUUUCCAGCGUAAAUAUUAAACAAUUAAUAGACAUUAAAUAGAGUCACAAGAUAUAUAUAUAUAUUUAUUUUAUAUUAAAAAGAAAUAAUAAAGUCGAUUUACGUCUCUCACGGUAACUCUGUCGUUUUCCUCACACUCUCAGAGACAGAGAAGAGAGAGAGAGAGAGAGAGAGAAGCAGAGGUCUCAUGGCGAAGCAGCUUCUUUCCCAGCUUCCUCUCCACAGUCACUACUUCCUCCACUACGGUGCCGUUUUGUAGCUUCUUCUCGGAUAAUGCCACAAUCACAUUCCUCCAGUCUCUCACCGACACUUUCAUAGGUUUGCUCCUCUCACUCACCGCUCUCUCCUCCGCAACGGUGCCGUUUUGAACUCAAGAACUCUUUUUUUCUGUGGUGUUUAAUCGAACAUAAAACAUUUGAUUGGUCUUUUCAUUACCUCAAAAUGUGAGCGAGUAGAAGUGUUUUCAGACCAAUUAUUGUAAUAAAGAUUCGAGCUUUAAACAAGACAAAAAAAAAAAACUAUAUUCCGAUAGAGAAUGGUUCCAAUAUUCUGAAUAAAGCGAAUAGAACAAAAAAGGAAAAAUGAUUUUAGCAUUCUAUUUUAUUCUUGUAAUUUGACAUAACUUUCAAUGUUAAAUAUUGUAAUCUGUUAAAGCUUAAUAUAAACCUCGGAUAGAUUAACAAUGUAGACUAAAAUCAGAAAAUACAUGCUUAAUAUAUUAAUAAUAAAAUGAUUUAGCUUAAUAUUAGCCUCUGUGAUAUUUUUUAUUUUAAAAUUUUAUAUUUAUAUCCCUAUAAAUGAAUAAGAUAGCAAUAUAAAAAGAGAGACCAAAUGGAGAGAGAAAAGUUAGGUUUCGAUGUGAAUAUAGCUAAUUAGUGAAGCAAAAGAAGAAAAAUAAAGAAACAUGUUUGAUGGUGGAGUACCGGAACAGAUCGACCAGUUCAUAGCAUCUCCACAGCCACCUCCUCUGCUUCCGCCGCAUCAACCGGCGACUGAGAGAUCACUUCCUUUUCCUGUCUCAUUCGCUUCCUUUAACUCAAACCAUCAAGCCCAGCAUAUGUUGAGCCUCGAUAGCGGCAAGAUCAUUCAUCAUCAGCAUCACCAUGGCAUCAAAGAUGGUGGUGUUUCUUCUGAGUGGAUAGGUCAUACGGAUCAUGAUGGCCAUAAUCAUCGUCACUUUCAUCAUCCAUGGGGUAGUGAUGAAGUUCUUGCUCUUCUUAGGUUCAGAUCUACGGUGGAGAAUUGGUUCCCUGAAUUUACUUGGGAGCUCACUUCAAGGUAAUACAUAUUCACACACACUCAUACACAUAUGAAAUAUACUUCUAUAUAUAUAUGCACAACCAAUAUUUAUAUAUUUCCAUAUAUGCAUAUGGACAUGAACAUUAAUCUCUUUAGUGUUUUCUUACAUUAGUUUGAUUACAAAUUUUAAAAUCUGCGCUCAAUUACAAGUGAGAAUUCCGGUUACGCAAUAUGAUGAUUUGAUAGGCUACAGAUCUUGUUUUUUGUCGAACAAUCACUUUUGGAAAAUUUAAUUUUAAUGAUGGCAAAUGAUUGGCCACGUAUUUAUACAUAAUUGGCAUUUCUCGAGAAGUUUUAUUAUACAAUGAACUGAAACAUGAACUUAAUGGAUGAUAUAUCAUAUAGGGAAAAAAACUUCAAAUGGUUAUAUGCUUGUAUAUUUUUGGUAUGUGUGUAUAUUUGCAUAAUUAAUGAUGCUAUGUCGUUUAUGGAAUUAUGAUGGCUGUAUAGAAAGUUGGCAGAAGUUGGGUUUAAGAGGAGUCCACAAGAAUGCAAAGAGAAAUUCGAAGAAGAAGAGAGAAGAUAUUUUAAUAGUAACAACAAUACUAAUGAUCAUCACAUCAGUAACUACAACAACAAAGGAAAUUAUAGGAUGUUUAGUGAGGUUGAAGAGUUUUAUCAUCAUGGUCAUAAUGAUGAUGAGCAUGUCUCAUCAGAAGUUGGGGAUAACCAGAACAAGAGGAACAAUUCGCUAAAGGGAAAAGAAAACGUUGAGGAAAUGGGACAUAACUUAUUGGAAGAGGGCAAAAGAGAUCAUCAGGGUCAGGGUCAAGUAGAAGAAUCAUCAAUGGGGAAUAAAAUAAACCCCGUCGAUAAUGUUAGAAACGAAGAUGGUGCAAAGUCAUCAUCAUCAUCAAGCUUGAUGAUGAUCAUGAGGGACAAGAAGAAGAGGAAGAGGAAGAAAAAGAAGGAGAGGUUUGGUGUGUUGAAAGGGUUUUGUGAGGGACUUGUGAGGAACAUGAUAGUCCAACAAGAGGAGAUGCAUAGGAAGCUUCUUGAAGAUAUGGUGAAGAAGGAAGAAGAAAAAAUGGCUAGAGAGGAAGCUUGGAAGACGCAAGAGAUGGAGAGGCUUAACAAAGAGGUAGAGAUUAGAGCAAACGAACAAGCUAUGGCUAGUGAUAGAAACACCAGCAUCAUCAAGUUCAUAUGCAAGUUCACAGGCCAUGAUAACCAUGAUGAUGGAAAUGGUACGGUUCAGAGUCCAAGCCCUUCUCAAGACUCAUCUUCCUUAGUUCUACCAAAAACCCAAGGCAGAAGAAAGUGUCAAACUUCAUCAUCACUAUUACCUCAAGCCCUAACUCCACAUAACCCUAUUUCUCUUCAAACCAAUGACAUACCACUUGAGCCCAUUUCAACUGAAACCCUAAAAACCAAAACCCAAAACAGAAAACCUCCACUAAGUGAUGAAAAGAGUGACACUGGCAAGAGAUGGCCUAGGGAUGAGGUGUUAGCUCUUAUCAACAUCAGACGCAGCAUCAGUAGCAUAAAUGAUGAUGAUCAUCAUAAAGGUGGGAUCUCAUUAUCAUCAUCAUCCUC
This 5895-nucleotide long non-coding RNA is filed under the name Brassica napus (rape). RNAcentral's name for it is "long non-coding RNA (BNAP_LNC001831)". The record is from RNAcentral. Lineage: Eukaryota; Viridiplantae; Streptophyta; Magnoliopsida; Brassicales; Brassicaceae.